AAACUGGUCAGUUAUUCUCCCGCAGUGAGGCCAGAAAGAGCCAUGGGUGGAUUUUCUAAUGGGGUGGUUUUCGAGUGUGCACAGAGGAAUGCAGUGGCUUGCGAGGCAUGAACACAGGUUCCCAUGGAACUGGGUGAGGGUUUCUCUGUAGGCCUGAUUGGUCUGUCAUGGAACUCACUCUGUAGAACAGGCUGGCCUUGAACUCUGAGAUCCACCUCUGUCUCCUGAGUGCUGGAAUUAAAGUCUCUGUUGUCAUUUGUAAAGUGACAUCUACUACAGUCUGGAAAAUUUAUCCCAUACUCAUCUGUUCUACCAGUCAUAAAAAAAGAGAAUGCAGGGGUCAUAGGUGUGUGCUACAUUGCCCAGCAUAUAUGGUUCCGAGGAUUAAAUCCAGUACUUCUUGAAUAUUAGUUACAGGUUCCACAGUGACUGUAAACUGGACAUCAGGAUUGUUGAGAAUGUUCUCUGGACUGUGCAUCUGAGCUACAGACGGCCUUGACUUUAAGCCCUGUUUCUACUAAGUGGCAGAGCCAUCAUUAGAUAUGGAAAGCUGACCACAAUAAUGACCAGAAGGAAUUGGUAAAACUGUGAACUGAAAAUCCCAGGGGGGGAAAACCCCAAACAAACCUAUGUUAGUGAUUCUCCGAGGAUGAUCAGCUGAUUCGAACAUCUGUGAAUGUGGAGAAUGAGAAUGGUAUGCUUCUGGAGCCACAUUAUCUUGGGCUGUCUUUAGACCCCUCUGUAGUUAUUCAUUGCCUAUCCUUGUGAUCCACCGAACACCCUUGGGACUCAAAUCCUUUUGGAAUGAACUAACAGGCCAGUUCCAACAUACCAAAAGCUGGAAAUUGUAUCUCUAAUUCCUCUUCAGGUGAGAGUUGUGUUUCUGCACCGAGGAUACUCAAGAAUGGUGGAAAAGUAAAGUCCCAACAAGAAAAGCCCCAUCCUGAUGGAGAGGAAAAUGCACAGCUCUCUUUCUGUUCUGCUUGUUGUUACCAAGUUCUGAGUCUGGAGGCUCCUGUCUAGUUUAUGUCACCUAAGGUGGUGUGAAGGUGUACUCUACAUGCCUUAUUCAUGGACCCAUCUCCAAAAAGGCAUUUGAACGAUUGGGAACCUGACUUUUUCUUAGGGUGAAAUUUUUGGGUGGGAGCCAGACAAGUUUUGCUUGUUGUGUGCACAUGUAUGGAAGGCCAUCAUGUAAACAAACUUAGCUAAAGUUGUGAGACCUCACAGUGUCUCCACAUCAUGGGACUGGAUGGGUCAGGGUGAUGACUGUGGGAUGGGCCCUUUCUCCUGGAGCCUGAGAAGGUCAGGGUUUUUGCUUGGCAACUCCUAGAGAUGAAUUCAGCUUAUUAUAUAACUUGUUUUCCAAACUUUCUUGUGUAGUGGGAAGAUUGCAGCUGUUCAAGGUCCCUCUGGCAUCUGUGGGCUUGAUACCCACUGUGGCAGGGCCGGCUCAUCAGGUUGGCCAACCUUGUAGAUCCUGUUGUCACAAAAUAUUUUCUUCUCUCUCCACUUUUGUUGUUUACUUAGCAAAAGGGACUCCACCCUCCCAGCAAGUUUUGACACUCUCUGAUACACUGGAUGGCUACUAUAGCUUGGCUUUCAAUUACAAUAAAUCCUAUCAUAAUCAUUUUCUUGCAACAAAUCCUCUUUAACACUUGAAAAGCUCAGCUCCCACGGAUGUAAUGUUAUGCUGUCAAAACAACCCCCACCCCCACUUCUGUAGACUUCUGCUGCAAGUGUAGUAGCCGUGGCAGGCAAUUGAAAAUAAGAACAUUAUCAGAACCCUACCCACUUUUGUAUUCAAUUCUGGUAGCAAAGAAAAAAGUAUCAUUCCAAGCUAUUCAAAUAUGGUUUGACCUAUAAACCAAUGGCCUUAAUUCUGUGAUUUUAAAUCGUAAUAUCAUGUUAAAGUACUUUCUGUGGGAAGUUAUUUUGUUAAGAGGUGAAGACCAGAAUUGCUAAAUAUUAAAUAUUGCCAUUAGAAGAACUCAUGGAGGGGCUGGAGAGAUGGCUCAGUGGUUAAGAGCACUGACUGUUCUUCCAGAGGACCCAGGUUCAAUUCCCAGCACCCACAUGGCAGCUCACAACUGUCUGUAACUCAAGUUCCAGGGGACCUGACUCCCUCACAGAGACAUGCGGGCCAAACACCAGUCACAUAAAAAUUAAAGAAAAAAAUUAAAUACAGAACACCACCAGAGGAAAAGAGCUUGCUUUAUGUACAGUUUUGCUUGAUUGCAAACCCUGGCUUUGGAAGUUCCAGUCUCACUGACUGUCUUAAGCAUGGUUCAAACUUUGAGGGGGCAGAA
This 2309-nucleotide long non-coding RNA is filed under the name Cricetulus griseus (Chinese hamster). RNAcentral's name for it is "lncRNA (ENSCGRG00015036284.1)". Lineage: Eukaryota; Metazoa; Chordata; Mammalia; Rodentia; Cricetidae. The record is from RNAcentral.